GCUGGGUGUGGUGGUACACACCUGUAAUCCCAGUGACUUGUGAGGCUGAGGCAGGAGGAUCGGAAGUUUCCUGCCAGCCUCAGCAAUUUAGGUAGGCCCUGAGCAAGUUAGUGAGAACCUGUCUCAA
Molecule: small RNA, 127 nt
Filed under: Marmota monax (woodchuck)
Lineage: Eukaryota; Metazoa; Chordata; Mammalia; Rodentia; Sciuridae
Source: RNAcentral